Molecule: ribosomal RNA, 254 nt
Filed under: uncultured bacterium
Lineage: Bacteria
Description: partial 16S ribosomal RNA
Rfam family: Bacterial small subunit ribosomal RNA
Source: RNAcentral
UACGGGGGGAGCAAGCGUUGUUCGGAUUUACUGGGCGUAAAGGGCGCGUAGGCGGCCACCGCAAGUCGGUUGUGAAAUCUCUGGGCUUAACCCAGAAAGGUCAACCGAUACUGCGGGGCUAGAGUGCAGAAGGGGCAACUGGAAUUCUCGGUGUAGCGGUGAAAUGCGUAGAUAUCGAGAGGAACACCUGCGGCGAAGGCGGGUGGCUGGGCUGACACUGACGCUGAAGCGCGAAAGCUAGGGGAGCGAACGGG